This 292-nucleotide ribosomal RNA is filed under the name uncultured bacterium. RNAcentral describes it as "partial 16S ribosomal RNA". It matches the Rfam family "Bacterial small subunit ribosomal RNA", at positions 505 to 796 of the family's 1533-position model. The record is from RNAcentral.
GUGUCAGCAGCCGCGGUAAUACGUAGGGACCGAGCGUUGUCCGGAAUCAUUGGGCGUAAAGAGCGUGUAGGCGGCCCCUUAAGUCCUGCGUGAAAUCCUGCGGCUCAACCGCAGACGGUCGUGGGAAACUGGAGGGCUAGAGUGCGGGAGAGGAGAGUGGAAUUCCCGGUGUAGCGGUGAAAUGCGCAGAUAUCGGGAAGAACACCCGUGGCGAAGGCGGCUCUCUGGAACGCAACUGACGCUGAGACGCGAAAGCGUGGGGAGCAAACAGGAUUAGAUACCCUGGUAGUCC